GACGAACGCUGGCGGCGUGCUUAACACAUGCAAGUCGAGCGAUGAAGCACCUUCGGGUGUGAAUUAGCGGCGAACGGGUGAGGAACACGUGAAGAAUCUGCCUUCAACUCUGGGAUAACUCCGGGAAACCGGGGCUAAUACCGGAUAUGAGCCUUGAUCGCAUGAUUGGGGCUGGAAAGUUUUUCGGUUGAAGAUGACUUCGCGGCCUAUCAGCUUGUUGGUGAGGUAAUGGCUCACCAAGGNGACGACGGGUAGCCGGCCUGAGGAGGGCGACCGGCCACACUGGGGACUGAGACACGGCCCAGACUCCUACGGGAGGGCAGCAGUAGGGGGAAUAUUGGGCGAAU
RNAcentral lists this ribosomal RNA (347 nucleotides) under uncultured bacterium. Its description in RNAcentral is "bacterial SSU rRNA". It matches the Rfam family "Bacterial small subunit ribosomal RNA", at positions 28 to 373 of the family's 1533-position model. The record is from RNAcentral.